RNAcentral lists this small RNA (168 nucleotides) under Tursiops truncatus (common bottlenose dolphin). RNAcentral describes it as "Nuclear RNase P (ENSTTRG00000024910.1)". It matches the Rfam family "Nuclear RNase P", at positions 1 to 96 of the family's 301-position model. Rfam says of the family: Ribonuclease P (RNase P) is a ubiquitous endoribonuclease, found in archaea, bacteria and eukarya as well as chloroplasts and mitochondria. Its best characterised activity is the generation of mature 5'-ends of tRNAs by cleaving the 5'-leader elements of precursor-tRNAs. Lineage: Eukaryota; Metazoa; Chordata; Mammalia; Artiodactyla; Delphinidae. The record is from RNAcentral.
GGAGGGAAGCCCAUCAGUGGGGCACAAGCUGAGUGCAUUUAGUCACUCCAUCCCAUGUCCCUUGGGAAGGUCUGAGACUAGGAGAAAAAAAAAAACAAGUAUGAAAGAAUAGGUUUGAAAAAAUUAAGCUACCAACUGAAGAGAUGAAAAGAACAGCACAGUCAGUCU